CCUCUGUUCGAGGAGUUGACCGCGGACAUCGAUCCCUCUCUGUUGGAGGAGUUAACCGCAGAUGCCCAUCCCCCUCUGUUGGAGGAGUUGACCGCGGACAUCGAUCCCUCUCUGUUGGAGGAACUGACCGCGGACGUCUAUCCCCCUCUGUUGGAUAAGUUGACCAUGGAUGUCCAUCAGUCUCCAUCGCGGGAGCUGACCACAGAUGUCCAGCAGUUUCCGUUGCAGGGUUUGACUGCGGGUGUCCAUCCCUCUUUGUCGCAGAGAGUGGUCAUCGCGCAGGUCCACCGCGCUUUUUCGGUAAGGAGAGCCUUUCAUACCCUCAAUGUCCUGAGAAGUGACCACGACCUUUGGCCAGGCCCUGACCCUUCCUCCCGAGGGUGGCCAAACAUCCUCCUUUCCCAGGGCAUGUCCUACAUUUCGACUUGAAUUCCAAAAUGUCCUCCAUUACAAACAAAAAGGGGUGGCGGUGAAGGUGGUUUGACUUCCAUUUUGUAACAUCCUACGUUUUUCCCCACGAACGUACCGCGUUUGCUGAUCCAGGGCGGCUUGACUGUCAUUCUCAGAAUACUGGGAGUCACAGUCCAGUGAUAUCUGGUCCACGCACGUUCCAGUGUCGUAACGUCGCCCGGUUUCCACUCUGUAUUCGCUUGCGCCUUCAGGCGCCAUUUGCACAUCGGCGCAGAAGGGUCCAUACUCAUUCCUCCUUUUUUCCUUUGAAAGGAUUCCUCCGAACCAGAGGAGGCCAAAGACGAUGAGGAGGAGGACAACAAAGGGUGUUGGAGCGUUGUCCAGAAAGAACAAUUGGCGAAGGACAUUGCCGAGGAGAAGCCUGCCAUCCUAUGGGACCUAGACGACGAUAUCUGGCGGGUGGAGGACGAAUGUCGCCCGCACUCGGCUUCGCGCAGAUCUCUGAAGCUAGUAAGCGCUGAGAAGGAAGGCACACUUCAGAGAAAUGGCGCUAAUAAGAUUCACUCUUUAAGGG
Sceloporus undulatus (fence lizard) is the source of this 985-nucleotide long non-coding RNA. RefSeq lists it as uncharacterized. Lineage: Eukaryota; Metazoa; Chordata; Lepidosauria; Squamata; Phrynosomatidae. The transcript is spliced from 4 exons. The record is from RefSeq and is a predicted model, not a curated record.